Molecule: ribosomal RNA, 440 nt
Filed under: uncultured bacterium
Lineage: Bacteria
Description: partial 16S ribosomal RNA
Rfam family: Bacterial small subunit ribosomal RNA
Source: RNAcentral
CCUACGGGUGGCAGCAGUGGGGAAUAUUGGUCAAUGGACGCAACUCUGAACCAGCGACGCCGCGUGAGUGAAGACGUCUCUCUGUAUUGUAAACUCCAUCUGUAGGGGAGAAAAUGACGAUACCUGACUCAGAAUCCCCGGCUAACUACGUGCAAGCAGCCGCGGUAAUACGUAGGCGGCAAGCGUUAUCCGGAUUUACUGGGUGUAAAGGGAGCGUAGUCGGUGCAGAAAGUCUGAUGUGAAAGGUCGGGGCCCAACCCCGGGACUGCAUUGGAAACUGUUGAACUGGAGUGUAGGAGAGGUAGGCGGAAUGCCUGGUGUAGCGGUGAAAUGCUUAGAUAUUAGGCAGAACACCGGUGGCGAAGGCAGCUUACUGGACUGUAACUGACGUUGAGGCACGAAAGCGUGGGGAGCAAACAGGAUUAGAUACCCCUGUAGUC